Molecule: non-coding RNA, 29 nt
Filed under: Homo sapiens (human)
Lineage: Eukaryota; Metazoa; Chordata; Mammalia; Primates; Hominidae
Source: RNAcentral
UCUCAGACAUCAGUUUGUUGGUUCUCUGA